Molecule: ribosomal RNA, 253 nt
Filed under: uncultured bacterium
Lineage: Bacteria
Description: partial 16S ribosomal RNA
Rfam family: Bacterial small subunit ribosomal RNA
Source: RNAcentral
UACAGAGGGGGCAAGCGUUAUUCGGAAUUAUUGGGCGUAAAGGGCGCGUAGGCGGCUUUGCAAGUGGCGGGGGAAAGCCCUCGGCUUAACCGAGGAACUGCCUGUCAGACUGUGAGGCUUGAGACCGGGAGAGGUGAGUGGAAUUCCCCAAGUAGAGGUGAAAUUCGUAGAUAUACGGAGGAACACCAGCGGCGAAGGCGGGUAGCUGGGCCAACACUGACGCUGAUGUGCGAAAGCUAGGGGAGCAAACGGG